AUUGAACGCUGGCGGCAUGCCUUACACAUGCAAGUCGAACGGUAACAGGUCUUCGGAUGCUGACGAGUGGCGAACGGGUGAGUAAUACAUCGGAACGUGCCUAGUAGCGGGGGAUAACUACUCGAAAGAGUGGCUAAUACCGCAUGCGAUCUACGGAUGAAAGCAGGGGAUCGCAAGACCUUGUGCUACUAGAGCGGCCGAUGGCAGAUUAGGUAGUUGGUGGGAUAAAAGCUUACCAAGCCGACGAUCUGUAGCUGGUCUGAGAGGACGAUCAGCCACACUGGGACUGAGACACGGCCCAGACUCCUACGGGAGGCAGCAGUGGGGAAUUUUGGACAAUGGGCGCAAGCCUGAUCCAGCAAUGCCGCGUGCAGGAUGAAGGCCUUCGGGUUGUAAACUGCUUUUGUACGGAACGAAAAGCCCUGGGUUAAUACCCUGGGGUCAUGACGGUACCGUAAGAAUAAGCACCGGCUAACUACGUGCCAGCCGCCGCCGUAA
RNAcentral lists this ribosomal RNA (498 nucleotides) under uncultured bacterium. RNAcentral's name for it is "partial 16S ribosomal RNA". It matches the Rfam family "Bacterial small subunit ribosomal RNA", at positions 30 to 523 of the family's 1533-position model. The record is from RNAcentral.